GAGAUGCGGAAUAGGCGUGUUGCUAGGGGACGGAAAAUGUACGCCGCUGCUAUUAUUCUCGACGUUUGCUGACAACUGGUAACGCAAAACGAGGGUUUUAAUUAAAAAAAAAUAAAUCAAAUUUAUGUUUUCCUUUCGGCCCUCGCAGGUAUUCAGGGAGCCUCACAAGAAAGCGACCCCUCCGCAGCGACGCGGGGAGCGUGACCCGUUUGGCUGCCCUCAAGGGGCCCCGACUCUGCUCUUCAAGGGCGUGCGAGAGGCCGUGAGGCCCCAAGGUCUGCCACGGCUUCCAGUACUGUAUAGUAGAUCAUUACACUUUCCCCGCUCCCCAUUCCGCCACAGGUUUUUUUUUCCCCCUUUCAAAAGAAAAGAUUCCCUGUGGUCAUUGAGCACACUCAUACCCUCCAACAUUUCUCCGAAGAAAAUAGGGAUGUCCUAAGGAAAAGCGAGACAUUCUGAGAUCAAAUCAGAAACCUGUAAAUCAGGGACUGUCCCUAGAAAAUAGGGACACUUGGAGGGUCUGCACAUUCAGCUGUUUUGGGGUCGUUGUUCCCCGAUUUCAUACUUUUGCCAAACCUGAGGUUCCCUGAGCCUACUUAUGCAUGGAUGGGGACGAUGCUCUGCACUUGUAGAAUGAGUUUGCUUUUUAGUACAUAAAAGCAGUGCUUUUUCCUUAAAAAAUGUUUAGGGGUACUCUCAUUUUGACUCAAGAAAAUCACCAUUUUAUAGGAAGAAUAAACACAGGAUAUGGACAAAAGUACAAAGAUUCACAAAAUGUUUAGGGGUAUGCGUCCCCCCAGAAAAAAAGCACUACAUGAAAGAUUCUCAGUCCUCCGCAUGUGGACUUAGGUACACAGUUAUUUAACAGGGAUGAAUGACUUGGGACACCCCAAGCCUUUUAAUAAAUUAUUCUUUAUAUCAAUUAUUUAUCAUCUCAGGAAUAUAUCCUUUUUGUGCCUUUUACUGAUACCAGCAGACACAAUUGCCAACAGUAAUAUCAGAAUAAUGCGAUUUAGCUAAUUCUGUAAAUAAGCAGCAUUUAUGUCAGUAGGAAUUAAGGAUGCCUAAAUUUCUCCAGAUUUAUGGCUGUGAUAUCCAUUGAGGUCAUAAUAUAGCCUGGACCACUAAUAAAAUGUAAUACGUAUAGAAUUAAGACCCAAUCCACAUGCAUCUAUUUAAAAGUAGGAGUUUCACUUACUUCAGUGGAUCUUAUCUUCACAUAAGAUUGCUUAAAACCCUAGGUGGCAACUAAUUUUUAACAGAGCCAGAGGAGCCAGCAAUAUUGGCUCCAUUCAUUGAUUGCUCCAAUAAGUGGAAACACAGCAAAUGCCUAUUUAAUCUUCUUCUGCAGCUUUGGCACGGGGCGGCCAAACUGUGGCCCUCAAGCCACAUGGGGUUGAAAUAAAAAAUUUAAGGUGUUAUAUGUAUAUAAUAAAUGUUCAUAAAUGUACCAAGCAAACAUGUACAUAAAUAUAUAAACCACAUGUCUCAAGCAGCACAGGAAAAAAGCCCUAGAACCAUUUUGACUCCUGAACUGACCAAAUGAUUUCUCUGCAAGGUCGAAGGAAAAUGGAAAUGCCUCCCCAUUGUCUUUUCAUUCACAAAUCCUGUCUGAAGGGUAUGUCUGUGUAUGAAUAGGGUGAGCCUGUGACCUGGCUCAGGAACUAAGUAUUUAUCAUUACAAAAGACUGGCCAGGCUCCCCAGGAAAUCCAAUCAAGUAAGCAUUAGCAGGUAACCUGCCAGACAGGAGAUAAACAACGCACUCAGAUUUCUGUUGUAGACUGCCUUUUCUGUGAUGUAGGUAUGAUGUCUCUGGGGGUGGCCUUGGACUCCAGGGCUGACAAUUUAAAAUUUCUAUAUAAGGGUGGACACACCUUGGUUCUGGGUCCUCCUCCUUCUCCUGCGUGUGAUGGGGGCACCCUGUUGCAACAGUUCAGAUCAGGCUUACUAGCUGCUUUGCUUCUCAAUAUUCUCUGGUUGGCCUCUGUUAUUUUCUCCGACCGAUGGAGAACCUGCAAAGGACUCUUAAGGGCUCUUGUGUCCCCCAUAAGGGAAUAAGGGCAGAUUUACGUUUAUUACAGGGUCAACAGCUUACACUCUUCAGGUCUCUAGCAAGCACAAUCUGUGCCUCCCAGCCUGCUGGGUACAGAGGUAAAGGAAGGAAUGUCAGAAAGAAAGAGAAAGAGAUUGCCCAUUCAAUUUGAUUCUGCUUCUACCCGCUACUGUCUUCAGUCGCACCCACAAUCAACAUGCAGCCCCAACAAAGUACCUGAGACGACAACAAAAAAGGUUGUCCACCACUGAUUCAAUAUUCAGCCUCAGCGACUCAUUCAAAAACGAAACCAAGACUGAGCUCUUAGAAAGUUGAAGUUACAGCCACACCAUACAUUUGAAGCACAUCUUUCCCCAAAGAACCCUGGGAACUGUAGUUUUCUAAGGGCACUGUAGUUCUGUGAGUAGUAAAUUGUGGUUCCCAGGAUUUAUUUAUUUUUGCAGAAAGCCAUUUGCUUUAAAUGUAUGGCGUGGCAAUAAGGGAUGGUAUUCUUGUGAUAGGUAUACUGCUACUCAGUAUUACUCAUCAGGACUGGAGGACAGGCUGGUGAGUGCAAUGUGUCAUCCAUCCUUCAUUUUAUAUGUCUUUUCUCAUUUUGUCCUUCAGUUCUGGUUUGCUGAUAGUCAAGAAAUAAUGCAAGACUAAUCCUUUUAAGACAGCUUAUAACAACAUAUGAUACUUGCACCUUUUUCUCUUGAUGUAUGC
Non-coding RNA from Podarcis lilfordi (Lilford's wall lizard), 2759 nucleotides. The record is from the annotation of a GenBank genome assembly. Lineage: Eukaryota; Metazoa; Chordata; Lepidosauria; Squamata; Lacertidae.